Molecule: unclassified non-coding RNA, 257 nt
Filed under: Manduca sexta (tobacco hornworm)
Lineage: Eukaryota; Metazoa; Arthropoda; Insecta; Lepidoptera; Sphingidae
Description: uncharacterized LOC119190485, transcript variant X2
Source: RNAcentral
UAUUGUAGUGCCUGCGUGAUGGUAUAUGUGAACAGGAUCCAUAGAAACUUUUGGGUAUUUACAAGAGCGGUCUCUCUGAUGUGACACGAUAAAGAAUUUGCCGCCAUCUAGGAAUGUUGUCUUGGAAAGCCACAGUCCGUAUAACACAGAACAUUACAAGGUAUGUCAUGAUGCUGUUAUCUUUCGUUUCCUUCCGACAUAUGAUAAACUUAUUAAAUACCCUUACUUAUAAAUGCGAAGCAGAUUUAAACGUAGUU